Long non-coding RNA from Passer domesticus (house sparrow), 455 nucleotides. RefSeq lists it as uncharacterized. The transcript is spliced from 2 exons. The record is from RefSeq and is a predicted model, not a curated record. Lineage: Eukaryota; Metazoa; Chordata; Aves; Passeriformes; Passeridae.
UCAGGGAUUUUUUGCCAGGACAGAUUUGUUUCUGGAAUCCUCAACAUCUCAAUGCCCUGCAGAGCCCUCCCAUCUCUCACCUUUCCAGUGAAGCCAGUCUCCCCACCAAGGCUGAUUCCCACACGAGGACACUGCAGCUUUUAAAACACAAAACCAGCUGAAGAUGAGGAGGCAGCAGCCACCCUGUGCCUGUCAAAGCUGGCAAUUCCUGGCAUUUGAUUUGGAGGUUCUGCCCUGUGUUCCACACUCCCCUCUUUGCUGACUGCAGCGUGGGCAAGGGCAGGCAGUGCACCCCACCAAGGACAGCUCUGCCAAAGGGAUGCUGAGCCAAGACCCCCCCUCCCCCAGCGGUUAUUAUCCCAAAAUUAGCUUUUACUGGGGAGGUUUGCGCAUCCUGCAUCGAUGUCCAUCUGACAGGGGCUGAACUGGCUCAGAAAUAAAGAGCACAAAGCAGA